GGGGGUAUAGCUCAGCUGGGAGAGCGCUUGCAUGGCAUGCAAGAGGUCCGCGGUUCGAUCCCGCGUAGCUCCACCA
This 76-nucleotide transfer RNA is filed under the name Aeromonadaceae bacterium. RNAcentral's name for it is "tRNA-Ala". It matches the Rfam family "tRNA". From Rfam's summary of the family: Transfer RNA (tRNA) molecules are approximately 80 nucleotides in length. Their secondary structure includes four short double-helical elements and three loops (D, anti-codon, and T loops). Further hydrogen bonds mediate the characteristic L-shaped molecular structure. tRNAs have two regions of fundamental functional importance: the anti-codon, which is responsible for specific mRNA codon recognition, and the 3' end, to which the tRNAs corresponding amino acid is attached (by aminoacyl-tRNA synthetases). tRNAs cope with the degeneracy of the genetic code in two manners: having more than one tRNA (with a specific anti-codon) for a particular amino acid; and 'wobble' base-pairing, i.e. permitting non-standard base-pairing at the 3rd anti-codon position. Lineage: Bacteria; Pseudomonadati; Pseudomonadota; Gammaproteobacteria; Aeromonadales; Aeromonadaceae. RNAcentral also lists the same sequence under 1 other name. The record is from RNAcentral.